RNAcentral lists this ribosomal RNA (202 nucleotides) under uncultured bacterium. RNAcentral's name for it is "partial 16S ribosomal RNA". It matches the Rfam family "Bacterial small subunit ribosomal RNA", at positions 524 to 724 of the family's 1533-position model. The record is from RNAcentral.
UACAUGGGGUGCAAACGUUGCUCGGAAUUAUUGGGCGUAAAGCGCACGUAGGCGGUUCGUUAAGUCGGAUGUGGAAGCCCUCGGCUCAACUGAGGAAGUGCACCCGAAACUGGCGAGCUUGAGUACGAAAGAGGAUCGCGGAAUUCCCGGUGUAGAGGUGAAAUUCGUAGAUAGUCGGGAGGAACGACCGGUGGCGAGGCGG